RNAcentral lists this ribosomal RNA (379 nucleotides) under uncultured bacterium. RNAcentral's name for it is "partial 16S ribosomal RNA". It matches the Rfam family "Bacterial small subunit ribosomal RNA", at positions 338 to 734 of the family's 1533-position model. The record is from RNAcentral.
CCUACGGGAGGCAGCAGUGGGGAAUAUUGCACAAUGAGGGAAACCCUGAUGCAGCGACGCCGCGUGAGUGAAGAAGUAUUUCGGUAUGUAAAGCUCUGUCAGCAGGGAAGAAAAUGACGGUACCUGACCAAUAAGCCCCGGCUAACUACGUGCCAGCAGCCGCGGGAAUGCGUAGGGGGCAAGGGUUAUCCGGAUUUACUGGGUGAAAAGGGAGCGUAGACGGCAGGGCAAGUCUGGAGUGAAAGGCGGGGGCUCAACCCCCGGACUGCUCCGGAAACUGGCAGGCUGGAGUGCAGGAGAGGUAAGUGGAAUUCCUAGUGUAGCGGUGAAAUGCGUAGAUAUUAGGAGGAACACCAGAGGCGAAGGCGGCUUACUGGAC